UACAGAGGUCCCGAGCGUUGUUCGGAUUCAUUGGGCGUAAAGGGUGCGUAGGCGGCGGGGAAAGUCUGAUGUGAAAUCCUGGGGCUCAACCCUGGAACUGCAUUGGAUACUUCCUUGCUAGAGUACUGGAGAGGAAACUGGAAUUUACGGUGUAGCAGUGAAAUGCGUAGAGAUCGUAAGGAAGACCAGUGGCGAAGGCGAGUUUCUGGACAGUUACUGACGCUGAGGCACGAAGGCCAGGGGAGCAAACGGGG
RNAcentral lists this ribosomal RNA (254 nucleotides) under uncultured bacterium. Its description in RNAcentral is "partial 16S ribosomal RNA". It matches the Rfam family "Bacterial small subunit ribosomal RNA", at positions 524 to 777 of the family's 1533-position model. The record is from RNAcentral.